RNA transcript from Vitis vinifera (wine grape), 2684 nucleotides. It is a transcript of the gene named DEAD-box ATP-dependent RNA helicase 37-like, with no coding region annotated. The transcript has 8 exons. NCBI's taxonomy places the organism in Eukaryota, Viridiplantae, Streptophyta, Magnoliopsida, Vitales, Vitaceae. The record is from RefSeq and is a predicted model, not a curated record.
AUAAAUUUGAGAGAGAGAGAGAAAAAAAUAUAGGUAUAGUCGUAUUUGAGGGAGGUAGCGUAGGUGUAGCCGUAGGGGUAUACAAAUACGUACGGAGUCGGUUUUUAUCUCUCUCUUUCAAUUUGUUUUCCACUUGGGAAAGAAGAAUAAAAGAAACUUGAAACUGAAGGGAAGAUAUUUUUAGAGAAAAAGGGGGAAAAGAAGGUGACUUCUCAACAAAGAUUAGGGUUUUUGGAUCUUUAUUUUGCUUUGAUUCUUCGCCAUUCGCAGGGUUUCCUCCUCGUCCUCGGUCACAGUACAGGGUUUUGAUUUGUAGGUUGAAGAGAAGUUUUGGGACAGGGAAGGAAUAAUUGAAUUAUUUGGGUGUGGUAGUGGAGAAGUUUGUGGAAAUUGGAUUAGAUUAGGAGUUUGAGUUUAGUGUUAGGUGGAAUUAUAGAAGGAUAAGAGUGGAAUUGUGUUAGAGCAUGCGAAGUUCUUGGGCGGAUUCUGUUGUGAACUCUGCAGCUGAGAAUGUAGCUGCUGGUUCUUCUGCUAGUAACGGGGUUGCUACUGCUGCUAAGCCUACCAGAGGUGCAUACAUUCCUCCUCAUCUCCGCAACCUUACACCCUCAUCAGAGCCACCAGCACCAGCUUACAGUGGCCCAUCUUCUGCAAAUGAUCGAUCUGGAUAUAGUGGAAAUCGGUGGGGUGGUCCCAGGAAUGACUCUAAUCAGACUGGUUACAGUAGUGGUGGCCGCACAGGUGGUUGGAAUAAUAAAAGUGGUGGGUGGGAUCGCGGGAGAGAGCGGGAAGUAAACCCUUUUGGGGAUGAUGUUGAUACAGAAAAGGUAUUUAGUGAGCAAGAGAAUACGGGUAUUAACUUUGAUGCCUAUGAAGAUAUUCCAGUGGAGACUAGUGGGGAUAAUGUGCCUCCUCCAGUGAAUACCUUUGCAGAGAUUGACUUGGGUGAAGCACUCAAUCAAAAUAUCAAGAGGUGCAAGUAUGUGAAGCCGACACCUGUGCAGCGGCAUGCCAUUCCAAUUUCCCUGGCAGGGCGAGAUCUGAUGGCAUGUGCCCAGACUGGAUCCGGAAAGACAGCAGCAUUUUGCUUUCCGAUUAUCAGUGGGAUUAUGAAGGGGCAGGCUUCACAGAGACCACCGCGGGGGGCACGUACAGUAUACCCACUUGCUCUCAUUCUUUCUCCUACAAGGGAGCUCUCUUGCCAGAUACAUGAUGAAGCUAAGAAAUUUUCAUAUCAAACUGGAGUGAAGGUGGUUGUUGCUUAUGGAGGAGCACCAAUUAGUCAACAGCUGCGGGAUCUAGAAAGAGGUGUUGAUAUUCUGGUGGCGACUCCUGGACGGUUGGUAGAUUUGCUCGAGAGGGCAAGAGUUUCAUUACAGAUGAUAAGGUAUUUAGCUCUAGAUGAGGCAGAUCGAAUGCUGGAUAUGGGGUUUGAACCGCAAAUAAGGAAAAUUGUGGAACAAAUGGAUAUGCCUCCGCAGGGUGUAAGACAGACAAUGCUGUUCAGUGCCACCUUUCCAAAAGAGAUACAGAAACUAGCCUCUGAUUUCCUUUCAAAUUAUGUUUUUCUGGCUGUUGGAAGAGUUGGUUCGAGUACUGACUUAAUUGUCCAAAGAGUUGAGUUUGUUCAUGAUACUGACAAGAGAAGUCAUCUCAUGGAUCUUCUUCAUGCGCAGAGGGCAAAUGGUGUCCAUGGAAAGCAAUAUCUGACUUUAGUCUUUGUGGAGACUAAGAAAGGUGCUGAUUCGCUGGAACAUUGGUUGUGUAUGAAUGGUUUUCCUGCAACUACUAUUCAUGGUGACAGAACACAACAGGAAAGAGAACAGGCAUUGAGGUCAUUUAAAAGCGGUGUCACCCCAAUUUUGGUUGCUACAGAUGUGGCAGCCCGUGGUCUUGAUAUUCCCCAUGUUGCGCAUGUUGUCAACUUUGACCUACCAAAUGACAUUGAUGAUUAUGUCCACCGAAUUGGGAGGACAGGACGUGCUGGGAAAACAGGUUUAGCGACUGCAUUCUUCAAUGACAACAAUUCGUCAUUGGCAAAGGCUUUAUCUGAGCUAAUGCAAGAAGCAAAUCAAGAAGUACCUGCUUGGCUGUCACGUUAUGCAGCUCGAUCUCCUUAUGUUGGAAGGAACCGUCGUUCUGGGGGAGGAGGCCGGUUUGGUGGCCGUGACUUUCGAAGAGAUGCCUCUUUUAAUAGGGGCGGCACAGAUUACUAUAGCGGAGGCAACAGCAGCACUGGAUAUGGGACUGCUGGCGGAUAUGGAGGAGGAUAUGGUUCAGGGGUGACCAGCGCGUGGGACUAAUAUCCAGCCCUUUACAGCACUCAGUUUUAUCUGAAAUAUAGUGUGUCUAGGAAGUAGACAAAGAAAGCAUGGAAAGCUGCUCUUUUAUUCAUAUUGUGGACUGUUUGGAAUGAAAGAAAUAGUUCUCUCGAAGAUAUGGAGUAUAUGGAUCAAAUGCUAAAAUGUUUUUUUUUGUGUUUCUUUUUAGACUGGUUAAGGAUGGACUUAAAAUGACACAAUAAUGUCUAUUAUAACUUAGUUGAUUGGUAGGGUUAUUUUUAUAAGGGGUUUACUACCAUUCUCUAUUUUUGCUUUUGUCCUUUGGCUUCUUUGCAUACAGUCCUUGUAAUUUGAUAUGGCCCCAUUUGAUAAGUUCUGAGAAAGGUAUCGGUGUUUCAAUAA